This 467-nucleotide ribosomal RNA is filed under the name uncultured bacterium. RNAcentral describes it as "partial 16S ribosomal RNA". It matches the Rfam family "Bacterial small subunit ribosomal RNA", at positions 28 to 507 of the family's 1533-position model. The record is from RNAcentral.
GACGAACGCUGGCGGCGUGCUUAACACAUGCAAGUCGAACGGAAAGGCCCUGCUUUUGUGGGGUGCUCGAGUGGCGAACGGGUGAGUAACACGUGAGUAACCUGCCCUUGACUUUGGGAUAACUUCAGGAAACUGGGGCUAAUACCGGAUAGGAGCUCCUGCUGCAUGGUGGGGGUUGGAAAGUUUCGGCGGUUGGGGAUGGACUCGCGGCUUAUCAGCUUGUUGGUGGGGUAGUGGCUUACCAAGGCUUUGACGGGUAGCCGGCCUGAGAGGGUGACCGGCCACAUGGGGACUGGGAUACGGCCCAGACUCCUCCGGGGGGAAGCAGUGGGAAUAUUGCACAAUGGGCGGAAGCCUGAUGCAGCAACGCCGCGUGCGGGAUGACGGCCUUCGGGUUGUAAACCGCUUUCGCCUGUGACGAAGCGUGAGUGACGGUAAUGGGUAAAGAAGCACCGGCUAACUACGUG